Long non-coding RNA from Onychostoma macrolepis, 329 nucleotides. RefSeq lists it as uncharacterized. Lineage: Eukaryota; Metazoa; Chordata; Actinopteri; Cypriniformes; Cyprinidae. The record is from RefSeq and is a predicted model, not a curated record. The transcript has 3 exons.
GAAGAUUUUGAUUGGUUUGUUUCAUGUCAUGUGGGUUGUAGUAUCGGUUCACGCUCCUGGUGGCGGUAGUGGGCGAAUUUUUUGCAAUCCGUAAAAAAAACCCCCCCAAAAAACGAAGAAGACGGCUUUCAGUGGCGGCAAGAUAGAUGAGUGGAACAGGUUAUGGAUACAGAAGACAAGCAGGUUAUGUUGAGAAGGGCAAGCAAGGCGAACACAGUGGAAUUUACUCGGAAGCAAUGCAUCCGGUAUUUUGCAGUGUCCACUGCAUGCAAGUCUAUUGUGCUGAAUGAAUGAUUGUACAUAAUUUGAUUCAUCAGAAAUAAAAUCAU